ACGGGAGGCAGCAGUGAGGGAUAUUGGUCAAUGGGCGGGAGCCUGAACCAGCCAAGUCGCGUGGGGGAUGACGGUCCUACGGAUUGUAAACCCCUUUUGCCGGGGAGUAACAUGCGGGACGCGUCCCGCAGUGAGAGUACCCGGAGAAAAAGCAUCGGCUAACUCCGUGCCAGCAGCCGCGGUAAUACGGAGGAUGCGAGCGUUAUCCGGAUUUAUUGGGUUUAAAGGGUGCGCAGGCGGCGCGUCAAGUCGGAGGUAAAAUCCCGGGGCUCAACGCCGGUCCGCCGUUGAAACUGCCGUGCUCGAGUUCGUGCGAGGAGAGCGGAAUGCGUGGUGUAGCGGUGAAAUGCAUAGAUAUCACGCAGAACGCCGAUUGCGAAGGCAGCCCUCCAGCACUGGACUGACGCUCAUGCACGAAAGCGUGGGUAUCGAACAGGAUUAGAUACCCUGGUA
RNAcentral lists this ribosomal RNA (453 nucleotides) under uncultured Barnesiella sp. Its description in RNAcentral is "partial 16S ribosomal RNA". It matches the Rfam family "Bacterial small subunit ribosomal RNA", at positions 341 to 792 of the family's 1533-position model. The record is from RNAcentral. Lineage: Bacteria; Pseudomonadati; Bacteroidota; Bacteroidia; Bacteroidales; Barnesiellaceae.